GAUGAACGCUGGCGGCGUGCCUAAUACAUGCAAGUCGAGCGAACAGACGAGGAGCUUGCUCCUCUGACGUUAGCGGCGGACGGGUGAGUAACACGUGGAUAACCUACCUAUAAGACUGGGAUAACUUCGGGAAACCGGAGCUAAUACCGGAUAAUAUAUUGAACCGCAUGGUUCAAUAGUGAAAGACGGUUUUGCUGUCACUUAUGGAUGGAUCCGCGCCGCAUUAGCUAGUUGGUAAGGUAACGGCUUACCAAGGCAACGAUGCGUAGCCGACCUGAGAGGGUGAUCGGCCACACUGGAACUGAGACACGGUCCAGACUCCUACGGGAGGCAGCAGUCGGGAAUCUUCCGCAAUGGGCGAAAGCCUGACGGAGCAACGCCGCGUGAGUGAUGAAGGUCUUCGGAUCGUAAAACUCUGUUAUUAGGGAAGAACAAAUGUGUAAGUAACUAUGCACGUCUUGACGGUACCUAAUCAGAAAGCCACGGCUAACUACGUG
This 497-nucleotide ribosomal RNA is filed under the name uncultured bacterium. Its description in RNAcentral is "partial 16S ribosomal RNA". It matches the Rfam family "Bacterial small subunit ribosomal RNA", at positions 28 to 507 of the family's 1533-position model. The record is from RNAcentral.